UGGGGAAUCUUCCGCAAUGGACGAAAGUCUGACGGAGCAACGCCGCGUGAGUGAAGACGGCCUUCGGGUUGUAAAGCUCUGUGAUUCGGGACGAAAGAGCCUGAGGUGAAUAGCCUAAGGAAGUGACGGUACCGGAAAAGCAAGCCACGGCUAACUACGUGCCAGCAGCCGCGGUAAUACGUAGGUGGCAAGCGUUGUCCGGAAUUAUUGGGCGUAAAGCGCGCGCAGGCGGCUUCCUAAGUACAUCUUAAAAGUGCGGGGCUUAACCCCGUGAAUGGAUGGAAACUGGGAAGAUGGAGUAUCGGAGAGGAAAGUGGAAUUCCUAGUGUAGCGGUGAAAUGCGUAGAGAUUAGGAAGAACACCGGUGGCGAAGGCGACUUUCUGGACGAAAACUGACGCUGAGGCGCGAAAGCGUGGGGAGCAAACAGG
This 429-nucleotide ribosomal RNA is filed under the name Fusobacteriota bacterium. RNAcentral describes it as "Fusobacteria bacterium partial 16S ribosomal RNA". It matches the Rfam family "Bacterial small subunit ribosomal RNA", at positions 355 to 776 of the family's 1533-position model. Lineage: Bacteria; Fusobacteriati; Fusobacteriota. The record is from RNAcentral.